RNAcentral lists this ribosomal RNA (403 nucleotides) under uncultured prokaryote. RNAcentral's name for it is "bacterial SSU rRNA". It matches the Rfam family "Bacterial small subunit ribosomal RNA", at positions 355 to 774 of the family's 1533-position model. The record is from RNAcentral.
CGAGGAAUAUUGCGCAAUGGGCGAAAGCCUGACGCAGUAACGCCGCGUGAGGGAUGAAGGCCUUCGGGUCGUAAACCUCUUUUCGAGGGGAAGAGUGAGGACGGUACCCUUGGAAUAAGUCUCGGCUAACUACGUGCCAGCAGCCGCGGUAAAACGUAGGAGGCGAGCGUUAUCCGGAUUCACUGGGCGUAAAGCGCGUGUAGGUGGUUCGCCAAGUCGAAUGUGAAAGCCCCUGGCUCAACUGGGGGAGGUCAUUCGAUACUGGAGGACUUGAGGGUAGGAGAGGAGAGUGGAACUCCCGGUGUAGCGGUGGAAUGCGUAGAGAUCGGGAAGAACACCAGUGGCGAAGGCGGCUCUCUGGCCUGCUCCUGACACUGAGACGCGAAAGUGUGGGUAGCAAACG